GACGAACGCUGGCGGCGUGCUUAACACAUGCAAGUCGAACGGAAAGGUCCUGCUUUUGUGGGGUGCUCGAGUGGCGAACGGGUGAGUAACACGUGAGUAACCUGCCCUUGACUUUGGGAUAACUUCAGGAAACUGGGGCUAAUACCGGAUAGGAGCUCCUGCUGCAUGGUGGGGGUUGGAAAGUUUCGGCGGUUGGGGAUGGACUCGCGGCUUAUCAGCUUGUUGGUGGGGUAGUGGCUUACCAAGGCUUUGACGGGUAGCCGGCCUGAGAGGGUGACCGGCCACAUUGGGACUGAGAUACGGCCCAGACUCCUACGGGAGGCAGCAGUGGGGAAUAUUGCACAAUGGGCGGAAGCCUGAUGCAGCAACGCCGCGUGCGGGAUGACGGCCUUCGGGUUGUAAACCGCUUUCGCCUGUGACGAAGCGUGAGUGACGGUAAUGGGUGAAGAAGCACCGGCUAACUACGUG
Molecule: ribosomal RNA, 468 nt
Filed under: uncultured bacterium
Lineage: Bacteria
Description: partial 16S ribosomal RNA
Rfam family: Bacterial small subunit ribosomal RNA
Source: RNAcentral